UACGUAGGGGGCUAGCGUUGUCCGGAAUCAUUGGGCGUAAAGAGCGUGUAGGCGGUCCUGUAAGUCCGCUGUGAAAGUCGGGGGCUCAACCCUCGAAUGCCGGUGGAUACUGUCGGGCUAGAGUGCGGAAGAGGCGAGUGGAAUUCCUGGUGUAGCGGUGAAAUGCGCAGAUAUCAGGAGGAACACCCGUGGCGAAGGCGGCUCUCUGGGACGGUACUGACGCUGAGACGCGAAAGCGUGGGGAGCGAACAGG
RNAcentral lists this ribosomal RNA (253 nucleotides) under uncultured bacterium. RNAcentral's name for it is "partial 16S ribosomal RNA". It matches the Rfam family "Bacterial small subunit ribosomal RNA", at positions 524 to 776 of the family's 1533-position model. The record is from RNAcentral.